CAGUCGCCGCGGGAACACGUAGGGUGCAAGCGUUAAUCGGAAUUACUGGGCGUAAAGCGUGCGCAGGCGGUUCGCUAAGACAGAUGUGAAAUCCCCGGCUUAACCUGGGAACUGCAUUUGUGACUGGCGGGCUAGAGUAUGGCAGAGGGGGGUAGAAUUCCACGUGUAGCAGUGAAAUGCGUAGAGAUGUGGAGGAAUACCGAUGGCGAAGGCAGCCCCCUGGGCCAAUACUGACGCUCAUGCACGAAAGCGUGGGGAGCAAACAGGAUUAGAUACCCCCGUAGUCCCUGUCUCUUAUACC
Molecule: ribosomal RNA, 301 nt
Filed under: uncultured bacterium
Lineage: Bacteria
Description: partial 16S ribosomal RNA
Rfam family: Bacterial small subunit ribosomal RNA
Source: RNAcentral